GGGAGGUAGACCAGACAGGUCUGAGGUACUGUAGAGAUACAGGGAGGCAGACCAGACAGGUCUGAGGUACUGUAGAGAUACAGGGAGGUAGACCAGACAGGUCUGAGGUACUGUAGAGAUGCCUGGAGGCAGACCAGACAGGUCUGAGGUACUGUAGAGAUACAGGGAGGUAGACCAGACAGGUCUGAGGUACUGUAGAGAUGCCUGGAGGCAGACCAGACAGGUCUGAGGUACUGUAGAGAUACAGGGAGGUAGACCAGACAGGUCUGAGGUACUGUAGAGAUGCCUGGAGGCAGACCAGACAGGUCUGAGGUACUGUAGAGGUGCAGGGAGCCUGGAGGCAGACCAGACAGUGGUUUAGACAACACUCUAUCAUCACUCCUCACUGUCCUGUGGAGCAUCAACCAUGGGAACACU
Oncorhynchus keta (chum salmon) is the source of this 417-nucleotide long non-coding RNA. RefSeq lists it as uncharacterized. The transcript has 5 exons. The record is from RefSeq and is a predicted model, not a curated record. Lineage: Eukaryota; Metazoa; Chordata; Actinopteri; Salmoniformes; Salmonidae.